ACUCGGGGGGUGCCCUUCGGAAUCCUGCAGGAUUGCGCAUGAGGCUGAGAUUAUACCCAUUGACCUGAAGCAGAUAAUGCUGCCGUAGGAAAUGAGUC
This 98-nucleotide non-coding RNA is filed under the name pig gut metagenome. The record is from RNAcentral.